Molecule: ribosomal RNA, 490 nt
Filed under: uncultured bacterium
Lineage: Bacteria
Description: partial 16S ribosomal RNA
Rfam family: Bacterial small subunit ribosomal RNA
Source: RNAcentral
GAUGAACGCUAGCGGCAGGCCUAAUAUAUGCAAGUCGAACGGGAUCCAGAUCAAAGCUUGCUUUGGUCUGGUGAGAGUGGCGCACGGGUGCGUAACGCGUGAGCAACCUACCCUUGUCAGGGGGAUAGCCCGGCGAAAGUCGGAUUAAUACCGCAUGACAUCAUUGAGAGGCAUCUUUCGAUGAUCAAAGAUUUAUCGGACAAGGAUGGGCUCGCGUGACAUUAGCUAGUUGGUAAGGUAACGGCUUACCAAGGCUGCGAUGUCUAGGGGCUCUGAGAGGAGAAUCCCCGACACGGGUACUGGGACACGGACCAGACUCCUACGGGAGGCAGCAGUAAGGAAGAUUGGUCAAUGGACGGAAGUCUGAACCAGCCAUGCCGCGUGCAGGAAGACGGCCCUAUGGGUUGUAAACUGCUUUUAUACGGGAACAAACGUCGGUACGUGUACCGGUCUGAGUGUACCGUAAGAAUAAGGAUCGGCUAACUCCGUG